GCAUUUCCUCAUUUCCUGCUUCAUUAUGAGCAUGCCCCAGCAUCUGCUUAGUGGAGGAUGAUCUUAGAAGAGGUAUUAGGAGGCCACUUGUGCGAUGGGAUCUUUGUCCUGCCUGGAUGAGUCACCAAAACCUCGAGGACAGCUCGAAUGGACUGUGGAAAAGCUGAGUGAGGGUGUGGUCCCUGCUGCAGGGAGAGCAAGACAGAGAGAACAGAUAGCUACAGGAUCCUGAGGGCAGAGAUGGCGUGAUAGGAGUUUCAGCUGUGAGGCUGGGGGAGCUGUGAUUGCCAACAGGAUGCAAGCUCAUGAUAAAGCACAGCUCCCUGCACUGCGAUAGGUGUUGGCUGCAUUUGAUCCUGAACCAUGCAAAACAAGAGGAACAUUGCAUUCCUCUGCCUCCCAUUCAUGUGUUUCACCACAAGGGCUGUUCCCUGGCCAUUCCACGAUGAUGACUGCAUCAAAGAAGCCAGUGCUCUGAAAUAGCACACAGAGAAAUACCACAGCAAUUCUCAUUUGGAGUCUAUAGUGGGAGAGCAAUUUCCAAAAAUGAAGGGCAAGGUUCCUAAUCCAUAGCAGCUUUUUGCCAGAGAGAUGUGGGAGAGAAGAAACAGGAUGCAUCCUGCAUGAAUCAUCUCUGUAACCACCCUGGAUUUAUUAACUGAGAUUAUGAGGAAUAACCAAAAAUGAUUAAAAUCUCAAAUGUCUGGUGAAAGGCGUCUCCUCAAGCACUGGGUGUUGUGAGAUAGUGCCGUAGUCUUCCUGUUGAUCUCAAAGACUUGAGGGCUAAAAGGUCAAGUUUUCAAGACCAAAUAAUUCAUUGUUUAAAAUGAUGAGACAACCGUCAUCACCACCUAUCAGAGAGGGGUAAAGACAUCCCCAGGCCCUGGGAUCUUUGUCCUUCCCCAAAACAGGGUGACUACAACCACCCCUUUUCCUUUCCACUCACCAGCUCAUCGGUAUUUGCACAGCUGCUGCCUCCCACUCCUA
Cyanistes caeruleus (blue tit) is the source of this 987-nucleotide long non-coding RNA. RefSeq lists it as uncharacterized. Lineage: Eukaryota; Metazoa; Chordata; Aves; Passeriformes; Paridae. The record is from RefSeq and is a predicted model, not a curated record.